Molecule: ribosomal RNA, 440 nt
Filed under: uncultured bacterium
Lineage: Bacteria
Description: partial 16S ribosomal RNA
Rfam family: Bacterial small subunit ribosomal RNA
Source: RNAcentral
CCUACGGGAGGCAGCAGUGGGGAAUAUUGCACAAUGGGGGAAACCCUGAUGCAGCGACGCCGCGUGAGUGAAGAAGUAAUUCGUUAUGUAAAGCUCUAUCAGCAGGGAAGAAAAUGACGGUACCUGAGUAAGAAGCCCCGGCUAACUACGUGCCAGCAGACGUGGUAAUACGUAGGGGGCAAGCGUUAUCCGGAUGUACUGGGGGUUAAGGGAGCGUAGACGGCAGUGCAAGUCUGGAGUGAAAUGCCGCAGCUUAACUGCGGAACUGCUUUGGAAACUGGCGAACUAGAGUGCGGGAGGGGUAAGCGGAAUGCCUAGUGUAGCGGUGAAAUGCGUAGAUAUUGGGAGGAACACCGGUGGCGAAGGCGGCUUACUGGACCGUAACUGACGUUGAGGCUCGAAAGCGUGGGGAGCGAACAGGAUUAGAUACCCGGGUAGUC